UACGACCACAUCACAUUGAAACACCUGUUCCCGUACGAUCACCGAAAUUAAGCAACGUCAUGCUUGGUCAGUAUCUAGAUGGGUGAAUGCUUGUGAAUACCAAGUGCUGUAAG
Acanthosepion pharaonis is the source of this 113-nucleotide non-coding RNA. Lineage: Eukaryota; Metazoa; Mollusca; Cephalopoda; Sepiida; Sepiidae. The record is from the annotation of a GenBank genome assembly.